UACGUAGGUGGCAAGCGUUACCCGGAUUUAUUGGGCGUAAAGAGGGCGCAGGCGGCCUCGCAAGUCGGAUGUGAAAUCUCUCGGCUUAACUGGGAGCGGUCAUUCGAAACUACGGAGCUAGAGGACAACAGAAGGAAAUGGAAUUCCCGGUGUAGUGGUGAAAUGCGUAGAUAUCGGGAGGAACACCAGUGGCGAAGGCGGUUUCCUAGGUUGUCCCUGACGCUUAAGCCCGAAGGCGUGGGGAG
Molecule: ribosomal RNA, 245 nt
Filed under: uncultured bacterium
Lineage: Bacteria
Description: partial 16S ribosomal RNA
Rfam family: Bacterial small subunit ribosomal RNA
Source: RNAcentral